CGCUAGGCCCCGCCUGCUCUAUUUAAACUUCUGGACUCAACCUGGCCGCUAGACCGGAGCGUCCUCCAGCGCAGGCAAGGAUUCCUCGUUUAGAGUCAUGUUAUCUUCGAGUACCUAGAGAGACAUUUUAACCCACACCCUAGAGAGGCGUUGUAAUCCUUACGUGUCUUUUAACGCUACUUGGCCCUUACCUGCGAGCAACUGACCUUUAAUAAUCCUCAUUUUCUGUGCCCCGGAAGUGCCUUACCCUCUUCGCGUCUGUUUCCCGGAAGUGGUUCUUCUCCCUCUCCACCCUUUCGCCCGCCUGGGCGGUCCAGCUGCCCCUAGGGGCCAACUCCAGCGGCUAUUUUGGGGCUGGACAUCCCGCAGCUUUUCAAGGCGUGCCUUUGGUUUUUUUAAGAAGUGCUAUCUAAAGGAAAAGCUGGACUAUGACUCUGGGGAACUUUCAUAUCCUCAGUUGACCUUAGGCUGUGUGACCUUGAGCAGGUAGCAUAACCUCUCUGAGUUUCCCGCGUGCCUUAUGUGCAGAUUGAGAUGCUAAAAUGAGAGAGCUAAAUUGGAAAGCUUUUUCCACAUAGGGGGCCGUGAGCAGGUGGCUGUUUUGUCCUCUGGCACCUUUGGCUCAGACUUAAGCAGCUUCAACGACCGCCAAGAUGCCUGCCAUGCCCACCAAGAUUUAAAGGACUCUGAUAAUUCUUUCUCUCCCCAAACGGUGUUUUCCUUAUCUAAUCCUAAUAACCAAGCCUGGAGGAAUCCCUGACUUCGUGAUUGAAGGCUCUCCAGGUCCCCUAGUUUAAGGGCAGAGAUUUACUUUCUCUGAGGCUACAAAGGAGCGUCUGCGAGAAUGUCUCUACCUUAGACAAAACAGGGAGGAGGGGUGGAGCUCUCCAAAUUGCCUCUGGUUUGGGCUUUUUCUUUCUGUUUUGGUGUAUCGUCUCUGGCCAACAACACCUGUGAGUCCUUGAUGUGACGAUUAGGGAAGAUGUUUUUAAUUCACAUAACUAUUCUUUAGAGAAAAUUGAUCCUGAAACACCUUAUUGCCUUAUCGUAGAAUGACUGCAUUACUCAGAAUUCUUUACCUCUACCGGAAUUUAGUGAAGGGAAGGCACAACGUACAUUAGGAAAAUACAGGACACACUCCAGUCCUUAAACCUUCCACAAUCUUCUAGCUCUUUAAGGUCGAGUGUGAUCCUCCCCAGAACUGCAUCUUCCAGGAAGCUCAUGAGAAAGGAAGGAUCCCAGGUCCCAUCUCUGAUCUGAGUCGGCAUCUGCGUUUUAACAGAAUCCUGAAGCAGUGGUCUAACUCCUUUGGUGGUGUUAUUGUUUGCAUGUAUACCUCCAAAAUUCACAUAUUGAAAUACUAACCCCCAAGGUGAUAGUAUUAGGAGGUGGGGCCUUUGGGAGGUAAUUAAGUCAUGAGGGUGAAGCCCUCAUGAAUGGGAUUAGUACUCUUAGAAAAGGGACCCCAGAGAGGUCUCUUUCCACCAUGUAAGGAUAAAAGUACACGGAGAAGAUGGCAAUCUGCAAACUGGAAAAGGGCCCUCCUCAGAACCUGACCAUCUUGGCACCUUGAUCUCAGACUUCCAUCUUCCAGAACUGUGAGAAAUAAAUUUCUUUUAUAAACACUCAGUCAAUGCUACUUUAUUAUAGCAGCCUGAAUGGAUUAAGACAGGUGGUCUGGUUUAAAGUGAUGUGGUGGCAUCAGAAGUUUAAGGAGAGACUGGAUUUACAGAACCAGAAUCUGGGAUGCUGUUUACAGAGCAAGUUAUUUCCUGCAUUUGGACACUGUCAGCAGGUCGAUUCAGGAGACAGGUGAAAACUUUAUCACCGGGCAGCCUGGAUGAACACCACAACUUUGAUAUCUUUCACUUAAAGGAAAGAUAAGGGCAUCCACUAUUUCUACACCUGGCUGGCAGAGUGAGAGCUCACCAAAGCACUUACAAAUUCAUGGACUAUUAUGAAGACAAGUUAAGAGAUUGUGUCCUCCAAACUCAUCAUUUUUCAGAUCCAGUUCUGAAUCUCGUUAGCAAGUUCAAAGCAAGGCCAAGAAGAUGCAAUUCCCACUGGAAACCUUAUGAGACAGUUAGAAGGGAAGGGGAGCAAAUGUUCACCAGAUGGAGUCGUGCCCUGUCUCCCAGGCUGGAGUGCAGUGGCCCGAUCUCGGCUCAUGGCAACCUCUGCCUCCCAGGUUCAAGUGAUUCUCCUGCCUCAGCCUCCCGAGAAGCUGGGACUACAGGUGCCUGCCACCAUGCCCGGCUAAUUUUGGUAUUUUUAGUAGAGACGGGGUUUCACCAUAUUGGCCAGGCUGGUCUUGAACUCCUGAUCUUGUGAUCCACCCACCUCGGCUUCCCAAAGUGCUGGGAUUACAGGCAUGAGCCACCGCACCCAGCCUUUGAACUUUCAUACCUUUAGUA
Molecule: long non-coding RNA, 2414 nt
Filed under: Homo sapiens (human)
Lineage: Eukaryota; Metazoa; Chordata; Mammalia; Primates; Hominidae
Description: HSALNT0279995
Source: RNAcentral